AUACGGAGGGUCCGAGCGUUAUCCGGAAUUAUUGGGUUUAAAGGGUCCGUAGGCGGGCGAUUAAGUCAGUGGUGAAAGUCUGCAGCUCAACUGUAGAAUUGCCUUUGAUACUGAUUGUCUUGAGUUAUAGUGAAGUUGCCGGAAUAUGUAGUGUAGCGGUGAAAUGCAUAGAUAUUACAUAGAACACCGAUUGCGAAGGCAGGUGACUAACUGUAUACUGACGCUGAUGGACGAAAGCGUGGGGAGCGAACGGGAUUAGAAACCCUAGUAGUCC
This 274-nucleotide ribosomal RNA is filed under the name uncultured bacterium. RNAcentral describes it as "partial 16S ribosomal RNA". It matches the Rfam family "Bacterial small subunit ribosomal RNA", at positions 523 to 796 of the family's 1533-position model. The record is from RNAcentral.